RNAcentral lists this long non-coding RNA (1575 nucleotides) under Capsicum annuum. RNAcentral's name for it is "long non-coding RNA (CANN_LNC016709)". Lineage: Eukaryota; Viridiplantae; Streptophyta; Magnoliopsida; Solanales; Solanaceae. The record is from RNAcentral.
UGGAAUCCCGAGCUUCCAACCGAUUCUCAUUUGCUCCUAUAUUUGUUUUGUGCUUUCCUGGAACACCCAAAGUGGAUGUUACAUGUCGAUCCUACAGCUUAUUCUGGAAUCCAGUCUAGCAAAAAUCCGUUGUUUUUGGGCGUUUUACCUCCUAAAGAAAGGUUCCCUGAAAAGUAUGUAGCUGUUGUGUCCGGCGUUCCCUCUGUGCUACAUCCAGGAGCUUGUUUGAACAUCUGGGGAUCUAUCCACAGAUCGAGUUGUGGCGUGACAGACUCAGGCAAUGGUUUUCAUCCAUGCUGCUAAAGCCUUUGCUUAACAAAAUUGAUACUAGUCACACGAAGGUGUAUUCUCGCUCCGACUUUUAUGUCUAGAAACUUUGUUCGUUUGCUCCUUUUUUUUCCUUUCGAUUGUUUGCGAAAGCUUGAAAAAAAAAAAGAUGGAGGAAUUUUUAUUUAUUAAAUAAUCAAAUAAGGAUGGAUAGUCAAAUUUACGUGAAUCAAGCAAUACUAGAAAAGUGUAAGCUCCUUUGUGUCUUUAUUAACCAUUUCAUGCUUAAUGGUGCGCUCAGGUUAUGCUAGCUGCUGGCAAACUGGGCCUUACAAUCACUGUCAGUCAAAUUGGAAAUGGAACACCGGAUACUGGGACUGCUGCUAUAUCUACUACUGAGAUGACGAAUGAGUGGAAACCCUCAUUUUCUGUUGACGAAGAUGGAUUACUUCACCAGUUGCGUUUAAGUCUUGUCCAGGCUCUUGAUUCUUGCAUGCGUAAGUCCCUUCAUCCCUUUAAGAUUAUGAGUCUUGCAAUUCAUUAUUUGAGUUCUUUCAUUGUUGGACGUGUCGAUGUAAUAAUUCUAAAGUAUCUUGUCAAUGCUUCUUUAGUUGCAGCAAGGUCAACUUCUGGAGGUCUUCAACCGUCCUCGCCACAAAACUCUAUGAUCCCUAUUAUACAAGAGUGCAUUGAUGCCAUCACUGAACACCAAAGACUUCAAUCAUUAAUGAAAGGAGAAUGGGGCAAGGGAUUGCUGCCACAAAGCGGUGUGCGUGCAGAAUAUACAGUACAGAGGAUUCGAGGUAGUUUGACUCUCGACUUUAUCUUGCGUGUCACUCUUGAAUCUCCAUUUACGUUUUUGGUGCAGAGAUGAGAGAUGAAGUAUGCUGAUUCUAUCAAUAUUGCACUACUAAUCUAGCUUCAAUUUCUUUGCAGAGCUUGCUGUAGGAACGUGUUUGAGGAACUACGAUUAUUUGGGCAGUGUAGAGGGUUAUGAGAAAGGAAACAAGAAAUGGAAUCCCGAGCUUCCAACCGAUUCUCAUUUGCUCCUAUAUUUGUUUUGUGCUUUCCUGGAACACCCAAAGUGGAUGUUACAUGUCGAUCCUACAGCUUAUUCUGGAAUCCAGUCUAGCAAAAAUCCGUUGUUUUUGGGCGUUUUACCUCCUAAAGAAAGGUUCCCUGAAAAGUAUGUAGCUGUUGUGUCCGGCGUUCCCUCUGUGCUACAUCCAGGAGCUUGCAUAUUGGCUGUCGGAAAGCAAAGUCCCCCAGUUUUUGCGCUAUACUGGGAUAAGAUGCCUCAGUUUUCUC